RNA transcript from Oenanthe melanoleuca, 2361 nucleotides. It is a transcript of the gene named family with sequence similarity 185 member A, with no coding region annotated. The record is from RefSeq and is a predicted model, not a curated record. The transcript is spliced from 10 exons. Lineage: Eukaryota; Metazoa; Chordata; Aves; Passeriformes; Muscicapidae.
GCCCGCCCGGAGCGGCCUCGCCCCGUCCGUCUGUCCGUCUGUCCCAAGCGCUCCCGCCCCGCCGGCCGCAAUGAGGGCGCUGCUCCCGCGCUGGGCGGCCCUGGCUGUGCGAGCGGCGGGCGGGCGGUGCGCGCUGCCCGUUCCCCACCGCGGUCGCAGCGGCCCCGGUCCGCCCCCGCCGCGGGAGUGGGCGCUGUCGGUGAGUCCGCGGGGGCGGCUGCGGGUGCGGCUGCCGUGCCAGGUGAGCAUCCGCCCGCUGGACCCGCAGCGCUGCCCGGGCGCGGACCGGCUGCUGGUGUCGGUGAGCGGCGGCAGCCCCGGGCGGGAGCAGGACCGGGAGCGGGGCCCGGUGCGGGUGGAGCACGACGAGGCGCUGGGGCAGGUGGCGAUCGUGGCGGACGGCGUGGACAGCAAGACCGCCGUGGACGUGCGGACGCCGGCGAAGUUCGAUUUGGAUAUCAAAACGUCAGGGACUGGCUGCGUGAAGAUUCAGAAAAUAGAAUGUGAUAACUGCAAAAUAGAAACAGAGAAGGGGACUAGUGUCUUGCAGUCAAUAAAGAGCCAUAAAAUUGAUAUACGGACAAAUGGUGGCAAAGUAAUUGGUCUUGGAACACUUUAUGGAAAUACAGAUAUUUGUGCAACAGAAAAGGGGAGUGUAAAUGUAGAGAAGCUGCAGGGGACAACCAUCAAUAUAUCUACUGAAGAUGGGCUGCUGAAAACUAAGUAUCUCUAUGCAGAAUCAGCAUCUCUCUCUUCAGAAUCUGGUGAUAUCAUGCUGGGAAGUGUUCAUGGUAAUACCAACCUACAGACAAAAGCAGGGAGUAUCACAGUAGAUUCAUCAGAUGGAAGUCUAAAAGCUUCUACGUAUCAUGGGACAAUAGAUGUUUAUGUCAGUCAAUUAAGAAAAGUGGAUCUGAAAUCCCAGAAAGGUUCAAUUACGGUCAAGGUACCUGCAUCUCUCAAAGCCUAUUUCGAGCUUUCUGGAAGAAAAGUGGAUGUGAGCUCGGAGAUCCGGUUAAAAGAAGCACACAGUGCCUCCAAAGAUGAUCAUGUAACUCUAAGUGGUCACAUGAAUCAAAGGGAUGAAACAGACAAAUGGAUUAAGGCUGACACACAAAAUGGCAAAGUGUAUCUUAAAAGCCAAAGCUGGAUCCAGUCUGUCAAGCUGAAGAGUUCUUAAAGGAUUCUGCAGGAGGUAUAACUGCCCUCAGCUAAUGGAAUUCAAGAGUCAAGGACAGCAUAUCUACUGUAAUUCAGGCUGCCAGCCAACCCACAGUUCAGACCUGCAGACAUGAACAUCAGCUUGUUUAGAGAGCUGGACUCAGCCCAAGAGGCUUUUUUGAAAUUGAGGGCUCUGGGUGCAAAAGUGAUCAUUGAGAAGUGGAGAAUUGUGCAUAAUGUAUGGGUGUAGUUGUGUAUUAAAGAAUCUGUAGUCACUACCUACUCACUGCUCUCAGUUCCUCAAGAAAGCUGUACUUGAUGAGUACCAGCCACAUCAAGUGUGAAGUUCUCUGGGGAGUGAGAGUGUUUAUGUCCUGGAGAGGACCUUCAUGGCAAACAAGAACCUCAAACACAUGCAAAUUUAUUCAUUGCUUACUCUGCACGGGACUACAAAACUUUCAUUAUUGAAAGAUGAAUACAGCUUGAAUCAACAUCUGAGACACAGCAGUGCUGUCUGAGUGCAGCUGUCUUGCUUGAAGGCAUUCAUACUCCUGUGAGAAAGAUUUGCUAUGCUUCCUUACUAAUGCAACAAAUGGCCUUUUAUUAAAGAGUGAUUAGUUUUAAUAAAAAAUAACACAGUGGUCUUUUCAUGCUCUAGAGAAACACCCUUGAACUGUAGAGAUGUUGCAAAAUUUCUUCAUUUUUCAUUUUAAAGAAUUUGUUUUUUCAGGCUCUGAUCUGUAUUUUUUGGUGAAAGUGGUUAUGUUACCAUCCCAGUCAUAGCCAAGCCAGGAAGGAGGUCAGCAUCAUUAUGUUGCUGUUUCUCCAGUUCAGCUGUGGAUUUCAAGACAGCUUGUCUACAACAAGAGUUUGAAAAUAAUAAUGACAAAAUUUUUAGAGGCUGUUUUUACAAAGAACACUAAAAGCAGUUUAAUGAGGAAAAGUUCCUUGUUUUAACUAAAGCUAUCAAUAUUAUAAGGGUGUUGUGGAAAGUAAACCUGAGGAUAAUUGGUUAGGUCAUAGAGUCAGAGGAUGAAUUAGGCUGGAAGAGGCCUCUGGAAAGCAUUUCAACCUGAUGUUGCUUUAAAUGUAUCCAACUAAAUCAGGUGAGUCAUAGCUUUGCCAGAUGAGUUCUGCAUAUCUUUCGGGAUGAAGGUUGCACAGUCUCUGGGAUCAUCUUCAAGAGUUUGACCAGCUUCC